Molecule: small nuclear RNA, 105 nt
Organism: Phodopus roborovskii (desert hamster)
Lineage: Eukaryota; Metazoa; Chordata; Mammalia; Rodentia; Cricetidae
Source: RefSeq, a predicted model, not a curated record
GCGCACUUCAGCAGCGCAUAUACGAAAAUUGAGAAGACACAGAGAAGAUUAGCAUGGCCCCUGUGCAAGGAUGACACGCAAAUUCCUGAAGCGUUCAUAUUUAAA